AUUUGAGAAGAAUGUUUGAAUUACAAAGCUGGGCACUGAUGCUGGUUGUGCUGUCAUUGCCCUGCAAUUUAACAGAGAAAUCUGCUUGCAGUGUGGUAUUCAGCACCAUAUUACAAGAGGGACUCCAUAAAGAGACAACCUUGAAGAAUGAAUACAGGAGAAUCAUAAAGAUAUCCAUGAAUGAAAACCGGGAAGACCAAUCAAAAAGCCAAGAAAGUAUGACUUAGUAGCCCUUUCAUUCUUCAGAAGUGAAUCGGUGCCUGAAACAAGAAGCAACCAUUGAAUCUGAACUCCUACAAGAGGCUGCUGUGUACUGGAGCACUUGGCGUUCCACAGAUUUCAAAAGCCAUGGUGGGUGACAGUGAUUACCUGAUUUGAUGGCCUCCACAAAACAAGUCAUGGGACUUGUCUUAAUUUCUUCCCUGGAGUUCAGUAAGAGUUGAAACACUCUCUGACUUGGAUCAUUUUCUUUUUGUAAACAAACAAAUGAACAAAAGCCACAUAUUAAAGUAUUCUAUAGAAAACACGAUUUUUUAAUGAAGAAUUUAUUUUUUCAAUUUUAACAGAGAAUAUUCAAUUCCAUGUUCAACCCAUAGUGCAUAUCUAAAUGUGAGAAAGUGUAAUAAUUUUGUAUCAAUUUAUAAGGUAACAGGUAGCUGCACUGGGCUUCUGGACCCUGAGACAUCCUUUAAGCUUCAGGAGAAGGAUAUUGCUAGAAUUCCAGGAGGUUUGAUCAAUAUUUGGGACAGUUGACAACGUUGUCAAUAGGGAGGAGAAUAAACUAAAAUAAAGGUGUGAGAUGAUGAAAACA
This 811-nucleotide long non-coding RNA is filed under the name Anas platyrhynchos platyrhynchos (common mallard). Its description in RNAcentral is "lncRNA (ENSAPLG00000027635.1)". Lineage: Eukaryota; Metazoa; Chordata; Aves; Anseriformes; Anatidae. The record is from RNAcentral.